GCACACAGGACUGAUCACACAUGGGAGAUACAGUCGGGAAGAAAACCUUAUUAGGUUGUUAGUAUCUGCCACUAUUCCUGAAUCACUAUUAAGGUCAUUUGUGAAUACUGGUGCAAGAAGACUCUUAAUUUAGUCAUCCAUAAAUUGUAAAUAAUCCUAGCAGAUUAUGAACUGUCUUACUGCACCAGCUCAAGUUGGCAAUUGGCAGGUAUACUUAGAUAGUUAUGUUGUUCUUGCUAUUAUUGAGCACACAGGACUGAUCACACAUGGGAGAUACAGUCGGGAAGAAAACCUUAUUAGGUUGUUAUUAUCUGCUACUAUUCCUGAAUCAUUAUUAAGGUCAUUUUGUGAAUACUGGUACAAGAAGACUCUCAAUGGAUCGAGUUGUUCAUAAAUUGUAAAUAAUCCUAGCAGACACUUUAUCGUCAUUGCACCAGCUCAUGUUUAGCAGGUAUACUCAGAGAGUUAUGUUGUUCUUGCUAAUAUUGAGCACACAGGACUGAUCACACAUGGGAGAUGCAGUCGGGAAGAAAACCUUAUUAGAACAUUACUAAUACCAACUGACAGUGGUUCAGGGUACAGGCACCCAAAGGCAAGACUCAGAAGGAAGCAUGUUUGACCUUGGAAAUGGAUGUUGUUCACAAACUUAAGAUGAGCUGGUGUUGUAUCGUUUGUAUGUGACUACUAAAGAAACUUCCCAUUCCAACAUACACUGAUGAGGAAUACCUAUACUAAACUGAAUUACACUGGCUUCAGAAAAAUACUCAAGAAACACUAUAAAGUCAAUAUUUACACCUUGCAAGUUUGAUUGUGGCAACAAUUUCUUCAAAGAAAAGGUCAAGAAAUCAUAUUGUCACAAAUCGAAAGGAAUUAACACUCUUAUUCAAAGAAUUAAAGAAAUUAUGAUUAAUUAACUAAAGAAUGUUAACUGUGGUCGGACCAUAGCUAAGCUUCAUUUCCCCCAUUGGGUGGGGUCUCUUCACUGUGGCCAAUGCGUGGCUGAUGGGAGCAAUUUUUAAAGUGACAAUAGUGGCUAUUAUAGCAUGUAUAUAUUGGACCUGUAGCCCCUUACCAUGGUGCCCUGACACUGGUGCCAGUUGCUGGGUCGUUGGUCAGGUUUCGUUCUUUCAGUUUGGUUCAUUUCUUUUGCCGCUAAUACUUACUCCUUGAGAUAAAGAUGCUCCUAUCCAAUCUGGAUUCCAUUACUUCUUCCUAGCCUGUUGGAUAAUCUCUGCCCUCAUCAGUUCUUGCUAUACUUAUGCUUGGGACUUUAAAAUGGACUUGUGUCUGUUUGAAGGAGGCUACUUCACAAGAAGAGAAAGAAUACAAGGCAUCAUACAUUUUAGUAAUGAUAGAGGACCUGUUGUUAAGAUGGGUAUGGACACUCACUCUAUCAGUGAGGGAGGGUGGACUAGGUGUUCUUAAUGAUGAUACAUGUUCUUUUUGUUCUGGAGAU
Molecule: long non-coding RNA, 1456 nt
Organism: Amphimedon queenslandica
Lineage: Eukaryota; Metazoa; Porifera; Demospongiae; Haplosclerida; Niphatidae
Exons: 13
Source: RefSeq, a predicted model, not a curated record